RNAcentral lists this small RNA (1552 nucleotides) under Rattus norvegicus (Norway rat). RNAcentral's name for it is "uncharacterized LOC102550373". Lineage: Eukaryota; Metazoa; Chordata; Mammalia; Rodentia; Muridae. The record is from RNAcentral.
GGGGAGGAGGCUGGACACGUGAAGCCUGUCACAGCCUAGCCAAGCAACUUCUGCAGUCCGUGUUGAAAUCCUGCUGAAGAGAGGCUGGCUGCCAGGAGCUGCAGGCCUCCCAGAAAUGCCAUCCCAUGAUCCAUGGGCUCGUUUCCGCGCAUCAUGAAGAGUUUCACGAAAACAACGGGCACUGUCAUUUGAGGCCUGCGCUUUGACGGCUGCGCCAGGCCUUAGAAGAUGGCCGCUCAUUUGGAAUCUCCCCAGAAGACCUUUACCAAGUCAAAAGACACUCCCCAAACACCUGGCCCAACCCUGGUGGCUCCUGGUUUUACCUGAUCGGAUUACAAUCCCACCCAACACAGCUCUCGAACCACCCCAUAAUCUCGUGUUUCAGAGAGCCAGGAGGAGUUUCUUAGCAACCUUUUCAGAUGUAACCAAAAUGGCAUCUCCUAACACCCAGCUGGCAGGGUCGGUGUGCAGAUCCAGCAAUGGGACCCUGUACAACAUCUACCACAUGGUAGACACAGUGACGUGUCUUGUGUAGUGCAGCUGCUGUGCAUGGCAGAUCUUUGAACUGAAGUUUCCAGAGAAAAGCCACACCUACUGUAAAAGACUUCAGGACUGAAUGACUCCCGCUUCCCGCUUGUGGAGACCUGCAGGGGUCUGCAGUAAUAUUGGACUAUCUGUAAGUGCAUUUAGUAGCCAUUCAUUGUCUACUUCUGGUUUGAUCCAACAUCCCUUCAACUACCAGAUAAAACCUUUGGAACGUGUCCAUUUAACAGAUCCCCGUCCUCCACCAGCCUAAAAGCUAGGAAUGCCGUCGCGGAACAUCGGAACCCUGUGCUGGAGACUCCCCCGCUUCGCUGUGACAUACCUGUCUGCAGUCCUCAUAACUGUCUUUGGCAACACAGCCUGCUGUCCUUCUGUGACUAUGAAUGCUCGUGUAACUUCUUCCACUGUGGGACACACUAUUUGGGGCCACCUGAAUCUACAUUCCUAGGCCAUAGUCACUCAUGUUUGACUGAGAAUAAAUAAUCUCAUUCCCUUAAAGUGGUAGCUGUAAUUUUCUCCACACACCCUAGUGACCCAGAACUGUCCCAGCAAGCCAGAGAGCAUAUGGCCACUCAGUGAAAGGCCCAGCACAGUACGUAGCCCUUUGACAAGUCCUCAGUGAUGAUACUCAUGGAAUGGUAUGUCCCCAGCAAGCAGUGGCCCAUGCUGGACAUAGAUCAAAAAACAAGGGCUCUGCAUCAGACUCCUGGACGGGACCAGGGCAAAAGGACUCAGACUGUACAGCUAUAUUCUGAGGAGAGCCAGAGAGGCCAGAGCCUCACGACACCAUGACCGCCAGAAGCCUGUGAUAGGAAAGAGUGAAGAAGUAGCUCCUUUUCCAGAACCUCUGUAGGAAAGGCCUUGCUUGACCUGCCCCCUCUUAGAUUUUUGUCCCAUGGGAGCAAUUAAAGCCAGCUUUAAACAAGGCAGAAGCUGUGGUAGCUUGGGUCUGAUCUUCCUCUAGCAGGUCUUGUGGCAAUGUCCUACUGCAGUUGUUCUCAACCUUCCU